Molecule: long non-coding RNA, 2073 nt
Organism: Ictalurus furcatus (blue catfish)
Lineage: Eukaryota; Metazoa; Chordata; Actinopteri; Siluriformes; Ictaluridae
Exons: 7
Source: RefSeq, a predicted model, not a curated record
AUUGGUGUAUGUGGAUUCGCCAUCACAGAUAAACUCUUUUACAUUCUUAAUGUUUGCUCUAUUGAACCUAUAAGUUAUAUGAUUAACUGAAAGUCUAGAGAUUUGGCACACAUUUGGAACCUUUCUGUCUGUGCACGAAAAUGCGUAUUCACUUGAUUUUAAUAGCAUGUUAAAUUGAUUAAAACUUUGAAAGUUAUAGGAGCUGUGAAAGAAAAAAUAUAUAAAUAAAAAAUAUGGGAAAAACAUGUAGCAAAGCACAUCCUGUGACACAUGCUAUGAAAGCCGAUCCUGACCUGGACUCCACCCCACCGCGACGCCCACAGCCGGUAAGGAGGAAGAAACCUGCAGUUUCAGAGGAACCUGCUCAUGAUGAAGCGGCCCAGCCUAUGCCACUCUAUCCGAGCCUGUCAGAACUGAGCCACCAACCCCCACCGAACUAUGCUCCAGCGGACUUUUUUGCAUUUUGCAAGAAACUCUCCAGAGCAGAAGCGAACUGAUGGGCAGAGCUAAGGGAAGGGUGAGGCACCUGGAAACAGAAGAGCUUUCAGACCUCCGAUUAUGAGCUACGGAUGAGGAAAAGGCUGUGUGCCGCAAAGCAGGCUGCACGGUUGUUGACAGAGUUCGGCGGUGCCCCCAUGGCUGUCCUUGUCUUCAAAGUUGACGCAUGGCAGGGACCAUGCGUCAAAAGGUGGAAUGAUAGCUGCGACAGCGGGACCAUUUGUCCAUUAUGGUCCGACUGGCCUAAUGAGGGAUGGGGAGAUGGCAGAAGGAAGUGACGAAUCAGGAAGUGACAAAUCAGGAAGUGACAAAUCAGGAAGUGAGAUGAGGUUUGAAGAAGAUGGCGGAAGAGUUAGGAGUGUAUGGAACAUAGUACGAUCGAGAAAACAGGGGAAAAAGUGAAAAAAGAAGGUCUGGCACAAAGGAUUUUUUUUUUAAUGGGUUGGUUAGGUGUUCACGGAAGAGGUGUUGUUGUGUAUGAAUGAGUCAGGCGCUCUGAGUGUGGAGAAGGGGCUCCAUUUAUACCUUUCAUCUAUAAUCACAUAAAUGAAGUGAUUAAUAAAGGGUUUCUCUCUUUAUGCCAAAGGUGCAUUAUGGGAACAUUCCAAAGUUACACUGCAUGCUAAAUGGCUCUUUUAGGUGAACUGACAUAUAGGAGGCAUUUAGAGUCUUCCAUUUUUCUUUUCUUUUUAUUUUCACGCUAACUCUACAUGCUAUAUGACCUGGUCUUUUUCCAGACUUCAGCAGUCCAGUUUGUGUGAGUCUGUGCUUAUGAUAGCUUCAGACUCCUGUUCUUGUGUUUGUCACUUCCUGCUCCUGUCUCUGCCCCUUGGGUUGCUACCGUGAUUGUAAACAGAUGGCCCAGUUUAGGUGGAGAAUAUUGCUAGGUUCCUGUAUUUCAUGGACCCCAGCAGCUGAGCCUCCUGUUCACCAGCAUGAAUGCUCUCUAGAGUCUUUCAACAAGCUCUUGCAGGCUGGACUCAGCAAGCAGGUGCUCCAAAACCUUCUGAAAAGCAUUAAAAGUUCAGCAGUGUGUAGUAGAUAUUGUUGAACAAUGUUGUACUGUAAGAGACUUGGAAUCAUAGGGGCUGAUAUUUAGUUUGGAAAAAAAAGCCAAUGUUCUUGAAGUUCCAUGUUGGCUGCAGAAAUCUCUGCUUUGAUGACUUUUGUAAGAUUUCCUGCAAGAGUUUGACUUUUUUUUCCCUUGACCGUGUCCAGCAGCUCCAUCAAAGCAAGUAAGUAAAGAAGUGAUGAGAGGACAGUAUCUUUUAUUUUUCUAUGUCUGUUUAUGAGGACAAGCUGCAGCUGCAAUAUAAUGACCCAUCUAUUUAACAUGACUGCAAUGUCUUUCACAUCCUGCCUGGACAUUUCCCUUUCACACCAUUAGAGAGAGCCCUUUCCUGAAUUUUAAAAGCUCUGCUUCAUUUACCGUGAUUGUUUCCUGUUCCCAUGCUAUAUAAAGCAUGUGAAGUGUUUAGUAAUGUAGUUUAGUUGGUGUUUGCCUGUGAAUUGUCUUUGCCUCUUUCCUAGUGCUCCUGUUUUGAUGUAACAUCUGAUUGAUAUUUUGUCCCUUCA